CCUAUCGGUACUAUUCUGUUUCCAACAAAGUAAACAGCUAAAACACUGCACAUCCAGACUCCUGCCACUUUAAACCACUUCAAAAACCAGCAGUGGGCAUAGUGGUUGGAGUAACCAUUUAAUUAUUCUCAUGAAGGCUAUUUGAAGUCAGGUGUAUGCUAGCUAAACAGUGAAUUGUAAACUGAAUUUUACAUUUGAUCUCCAGGUCAGCUGGUUAUUUUGACCUACAAUAUACAUUUUCAUUGCCCCACAAUUCACUGUUUAGUAAACAAAACCCCGUAGCAUACAGCUUUCAAACUCUAGCUCAUAACAGAGUUUUAGCAUGCGUGGAAGUCAGGCAUUAUAUUAUCCAAUAUGAAUAGAAAAUCAGAAUAUAUCAACAAUCCAU
Pelobates cultripes (western spadefoot toad) is the source of this 388-nucleotide non-coding RNA. Lineage: Eukaryota; Metazoa; Chordata; Amphibia; Anura; Pelobatidae. The record is from the annotation of a GenBank genome assembly.